AAAAACAUAACCUUUAGCCAAACAAAUAUUAAAGGCAACGCCUGCCCAGUGAACAAUUAAACGGCCGCGGUAUCCUAACCGUGCAAAGGUAGCAUAAUCAUUUGUCUACUAAUUAUAGACCUGUAUGAAAGGCAAAAUGAGGGUCUAACUGUCUCUUAUAAUAAAUCAAUUAAACUGAUCUCCUAGUAAAAAAGCUAGAAUAACACCAUAAGACCAGAAGACCCUGUGAAGCUUAAACUAAACUAUUAAACCAUAUAAUAAAUACUUUCGGUUGGGGCGACCUUGGAAAAAAACAGAACUUCCAAGACCCAGCACAGCUGAUUAUUGAACCAAGUUACUCCAGGGAUAACAGCGCAAUCUUCUUCAAGAGCCCAUAUCAAAAAGAAGGUUUACGACCUCGAUGUUGGAUCAGGACAUCCUAAUGGUGCAGCCGCUAUUAAGGGUUCGUUUGUUCAACGAUUAACAGUCCUACGUGAUCU
RNAcentral lists this ribosomal RNA (479 nucleotides) under Pantherophis emoryi. RNAcentral describes it as "partial 16S ribosomal RNA". It matches the Rfam family "Bacterial large subunit ribosomal RNA", at positions 1809 to 2606 of the family's 2925-position model. The record is from RNAcentral. Lineage: Eukaryota; Metazoa; Chordata; Lepidosauria; Squamata; Colubridae.